RNAcentral lists this ribosomal RNA (497 nucleotides) under uncultured bacterium. Its description in RNAcentral is "partial 16S ribosomal RNA". It matches the Rfam family "Bacterial small subunit ribosomal RNA", at positions 28 to 507 of the family's 1533-position model. The record is from RNAcentral.
GAUGAACACUGGCGGCGUGCCUAAUACAUGCAAGUCGAGCGAACAGAUGAGGAGCUUGCUCCUCUGACGUUAGCGGCGGACGGGUGAGUAACACGUGGAUAACCUACCUAUAAGACUGGGAUAACUUCGGGAAACCGGAGCUAAUACCGGAUAAUAUAUUGAACCGCAUGGUUCAAUAGUGAAAGACGGUUUUGCUGUCACUUAUAGAUGGAUCCGCGCCGCAUUAGCUAGUUGGUAAGGUAACGGCUUACCAAGGCAACGAUGCGUAGCCGACCUGAGAGGGUGAUCGGCCACACUGGAACUGAGACACGGUCCAGACUCCUACGGGAGGCAGCAGUAGGGAAUCUUCCGCAAUGGGCGAAAGCUUGACGGAGCAACGCCGCGUGAGUGAUGAAGGUCUUCGGAUCGUAAAACUCUGUUAUUAGGGAAGAACAAAUGUGUAAGUAACUAUGCACGUCUUGACGGUACCUAAUCAGAAAGCCACGGCUAACUACGUG